GACGAACGCUGGCGGCGUGCUUAACACAUGCAAGUCGAACGCGUCGCGGACGGGUGAGUAAUGUCGGGUAAACUGCCUGAUGGAGGGGUAUCACUACUGGAAACGGUAGCUAAUCCCGCCUACCAUCGGCUGUGCCCAGAGGGUAUUAGCUCGUAGGUGGGGUAAAGGCUCACCUACGCGGCGAUCCCUAGCUGGUCGGAGAGGAUGACCAGCAACACUGGAUCUGAGGCACGACCCAGAGUCCUACGGGAGGCAGCCGUGGGGAAUAUUGCACAAUGGGCGCAAGCCUGAUGCAGCCAGGCCGCGUGUAUGAAGAAGGCCUUCGGGUUGUAAAGUACUUUCAGCGGGGAGGCGUUACCCGCAGAAGAAGCACCGGCUAACUCCGUGCCAGCAGCCGCGGUAAUUC
This 406-nucleotide ribosomal RNA is filed under the name uncultured bacterium. RNAcentral describes it as "partial 16S ribosomal RNA". It matches the Rfam family "Bacterial small subunit ribosomal RNA", at positions 28 to 526 of the family's 1533-position model. The record is from RNAcentral.